Molecule: long non-coding RNA, 243 nt
Organism: Rhagoletis zephyria (snowberry fruit fly)
Lineage: Eukaryota; Metazoa; Arthropoda; Insecta; Diptera; Tephritidae
Source: RefSeq, a predicted model, not a curated record
UUAUUGAAACUUUGCACAUCGACUCUAGACCCUGAAAGGAUGAUAAUAGAAGAAAAACAAUUUCGAUAUAUCAAAGGGGCGUGGCACCUCCCAUACAAACCGAAGCUUUCACACAAUAUAUCUCUGGAAGUAUUCAUCGUAGAGUGCUGCAACUUAGCACACAGAUAUACAAUAUCAACGCCAAACUCACGGAAAAAAUGGGAGUUAUUGAAAAAGGGGGCGUGGCACCCUCCAUACAAACUG